Molecule: ribosomal RNA, 550 nt
Filed under: uncultured bacterium
Lineage: Bacteria
Description: bacterial LSU rRNA
Rfam family: Bacterial large subunit ribosomal RNA
Source: RNAcentral
GAGCGAUUAAUGCGGGGUUGUAGGACCCGAAGUAUGAGUAUAAACUGAACUAGAACACAACUGGAAAGUUGGACCGAAGGAGGUGAUAGUCCUGUAUAGGCAAGGUUUAUAUGAGUUAGGGUAUCCUGAGUAGGGCGGGACCGGAGAAAUCCUGCUUGAAUUUGCCGGCACCAUCCGGUAAGGCUAAAAUACUACCAAGAGACCGAUAGUGAACCAGUACUGUGAAGGAAAGGUGAAAAGAACCCCGGGAAGGGGAGUGAAAAGAACCUGAAACCAUGCGCUUACAAGCGGUCGGAGUCUCGAAUUAUCGGGAUGACGGCGUGCCUUUUGCAUAAUGAUCCUACGAGUUACUCCUCACCGGCGAGCUUAAGUACUUCAGGUACGGAGGCGGAGCGAAAGCGAGUCUGAAUAGGGCGAGAGUCGGUGGGGGUAGACGCGAAACCAUGUGAUCUACCCAUGGGCAGGUUGAAGGUGCGAUAGUCUCGCACUGGAGGACCGAACCGGUAAACGUUGAAAAGUUUUCGGAUGACCUGUGGGUAGGGGUGAAAGG